RNAcentral lists this ribosomal RNA (455 nucleotides) under uncultured bacterium. Its description in RNAcentral is "bacterial SSU rRNA". It matches the Rfam family "Bacterial small subunit ribosomal RNA", at positions 339 to 791 of the family's 1533-position model. The record is from RNAcentral.
CUACGGGAGGCAGCAGUAAGGAAUAUUGGUCAAUGGACGCAAGUCUGAACCAGCCAUGCCGCGUGAAGGAUGAAGGUCCUCUGGAUUGUAAACUUCUUUUAUAUGGGAAGAAAUCCAUCUUUUCUUGGGUGGUUGACGGUACCAUAGGAAUAAGCACCGGCUAACUCCGUGCCAGCAGCCGCGGUAAUACGGAGGGUGCAAGCGUUAUCCGGAUUCACUGGGUUUAAAGGGUGCGUAGGAGGGCAGGUAAGUCAGUGGUGAAAUCUCCAAGCUUAACUUGGAAACUGCCGUUGAUACUAUCUGUCUUGAAUACCGUGGAGGUGAGCGGAAUAUGUCAUGUAGCGGUGAAAUGCUUAGAUAUGACAUAGAACACCAAUUGCGAAGGCAGCUCGCUACACGAAUAUUGACUCUGAGGCACGAAAGCGUGGGGAUCAAACAGGAUUAGAUACCCCGGU